GAUGAACGCUGGCGGCGUGCCUAAUACAUGCAAGUCGAGCGAACAGACGAGGAGCUUGCUCCUCUGACGUUAGCGGCGGACGGGUGAGUAACACGUGGAUAACCUACCUAUAAGACUGGGAUAACUUCGGGAAACCGGAGCUAAUACCGGAUAAUAUAUUGAACCGCAUGGUUCAAUAGUGAAAGACGGUUUUGCUGUCACUUAUAGAUGGAUCCGCGCCGCAUUAGCUAGUUGGUAAGGUAACGGCUUACCAAGGCAACGAUGCGUAGCCGACCUGAGAGGGUGAUAGGCCACACUGGAACGGAGACACGGUCCAGACUCCUACGGGAGGCAGCAGUAGGGAAUCUUCCGCAAUGGGCGAAAGCCUGACGGAGCAACGCCGCGUGAGUGAUGAAGGUCUUCGGAUCGUAAAACUCUGUUAUUAGGGAAGAACAAAUGUGUAAGUAACUAUGCACGUAUUGACGGUACCUAAUCAGAAAGCCACGGCUAACUACGUG
RNAcentral lists this ribosomal RNA (497 nucleotides) under uncultured bacterium. RNAcentral describes it as "partial 16S ribosomal RNA". It matches the Rfam family "Bacterial small subunit ribosomal RNA", at positions 28 to 507 of the family's 1533-position model. The record is from RNAcentral.